Molecule: ribosomal RNA, 253 nt
Filed under: uncultured bacterium
Lineage: Bacteria
Description: partial 16S ribosomal RNA
Rfam family: Bacterial small subunit ribosomal RNA
Source: RNAcentral
UACGAAGGGGGCUAGCGUUGCUCGGAAUCACUGGGCGUAAAGCGCACGUAGGCGGGUUCUUAAGUCAGGGGUGAAAUCCCGAGGCUCAACCUCGGAACUGCCUUUGAUACUGGGAAUCUUGAGUUCGGGAGAGGUGAGUGGAAUUGCGAGUGUAGAGGUGAAAUUCGUAGAUAUUCGCAAGAACACCAGUGGCGAAGGCGGCUCACUGGCCCAAUACUGACGCUGAGGUGCGAAAGCGUGGGGAGCAAACAGG